CCUACGGGGCGCAGCAGUAGGGAAUCUUCCACAAUGGGCGAAAGCCUGAUGGAGCAACGCCGCGUGGGUGAAGAAGAUCUUCGGAUCGUAAAACCCUGUUGUUAGAGAAGAAAGUGCGUGAGAGUAACUGUUCACGUUUCGACGGUAUCUAACCAGAAAGCCACGGCUAACUACGUGCCAGCAGCCGCGGUAAUACGUAGGUGGCAAGCGUUAUCCGGAUUUAUUGGGCGUAAAGGGAACGCAGGCGGUCUUUUAAGUCUGAUGUGAAAGCCUUCGGCUUAACCGGAGUAGGGCAUUGGAAACUGGGAGACGUGAGUGCAGAAGAGGAGAGUGGAACUCCAUGUGUAGCGGUGAAAUGCGUAGAUAUAUGGAAGAACACCAGUGGCGAAAGCGGCUCUCUGGUCUGUAACUGACGCUGAGGUUCGAAAGCGUGGGUAGCAAACAGGAUUAGAUACCCUGGUAGUC
Molecule: ribosomal RNA, 465 nt
Filed under: uncultured bacterium
Lineage: Bacteria
Description: partial 16S ribosomal RNA
Rfam family: Bacterial small subunit ribosomal RNA
Source: RNAcentral